GACGAACGCUGGCGGCGUGCCUAACACAUGCAAGUCGAGCGAGAGAUUUCGGUCUCUAGCGGCGGACGCGUGAGUAACACGUGGGUAACCUGCCUCAUAGAGGGGGAUAGCCUCCCGAAAGGGAGAUUAAUACCGCAUAACAUGUUUUGAUUGCAUGAUCGAAACAUUAAAGGAGUAAUCCGCUAAGAGAUGGACCCGCGGCGCAUUAGCUAGUUGGAGAGGUAACGGCUCACCAAGGCGACGAUGCGUAGCCGACCUGAGAGGGUGAUCGGCCACAUUGGAGCUGAGAUACGGUCCAGACUCCUACGGGAGGCAGCAGUGGGGAAUAUUGCACAAUGGGCGAAAGCCUGAUGCAGCAACGCCGCGUGAGUGAUGAAGGCCUUCGGGUUGUAAAGCUCUGUCUUUGGGGACGAUAAUGACGGUACCCAAGGAGGAAGCCACGGCUAACUACGUGCCAGCCGCCGCGGUAA
This 470-nucleotide ribosomal RNA is filed under the name uncultured bacterium. Its description in RNAcentral is "partial 16S ribosomal RNA". It matches the Rfam family "Bacterial small subunit ribosomal RNA", at positions 28 to 523 of the family's 1533-position model. The record is from RNAcentral.